Bubalus bubalis (water buffalo) is the source of this 1481-nucleotide long non-coding RNA. RefSeq lists it as uncharacterized. Lineage: Eukaryota; Metazoa; Chordata; Mammalia; Artiodactyla; Bovidae. The record is from RefSeq and is a predicted model, not a curated record. The transcript is spliced from 2 exons.
GGGAAGAGGGACUAAGACCCAGUAGAGAGGGGACGGAAUGGGGCGAGGCCUGGAAACCUGAGAGCUUCUGACUAGGUCUAAUGGAGGAAGCGACGUAAAGAAAGUACCGGGUCGGAGCUGCAAACUCGGCCCGAUUAACCGGGCCUGGACCGGAAGAAUGCCAGGAUGGAUGGGAAGAGACUGUGAGAGGGUGUGCGCAUGCGCCCAACCAGGGCCUCAACCUAAGGACUGCGCCUGCGCAAGCUCGCCCCUUCAUUGUCUUGUUCCGCGAGGUCGAGCGCGGGCGAGCCCCACUUGGGCGCCGCUUUUCCUGUCGCCACGGUCGAAGACGGCCACGUAGCUACCCAAGAAGACAUCACCGAGGAUCCAGAAGGGCCCUGAGGGCGGAGGCACGUCCAGAGCCAUGAAGCCGGACAAACAGAUACUGAAGCCACUCCGAGUAAUCUACAAGGCGAUAAGACCAGUCACGGGUGUCACGCUCACCGGCCUGCCUUCCUCCUAGGAGCCAGAGCUUCGCCCUGCCCACCACUAGACAUGUUUCUGUGCCGCAUGCUUGGACCUAGUGACGUCUCACUCCCAGCCCCACCCUUCCAAACGCGCCACUCUGACGUCAUUAUGACGGCCACCUACCUGGAUGACGUAGUCCUGGGCCGUGAGGUUAAACCAGACCCCCCCAAGAAGGAAGGAGACUGGGGGGAGCGUUGGGAUUUUCGAGCACUCGAUGUAGUACUGGGGGAAAAGAGGAACAAGUCCGAAAUGAGGGAUUCCUUCUCGGCUCAAUUUUUUUCUGUGACUCCCCAGUGCCGCAGGGUCGUGUCCAUUUUGGGCAACUAGGUGUUAAAGACUGUGUGUGGUCAAGAUCUCCUGUCUUCUGUAGCCUUACUGGCUCUUCCUCACUACUGUAUAAUUGUUGCCACUUAUCCUAGGCUCCCAUUUGAUCAGGUCCUCUUUACCUCUAAUUGAAAAUCAAAAGCUGGUGGUGGCCCACGGGCCAUAUUGGGCCUGCAGGUAUAUGUAACUAGUCUUAUACUCAUUAUGUUCACUCACUCUCAUCCAGUAAACCUGGAUCACCAUCCUCUCCUAUGCACUGUGACACUCAGGAUAGACUCUAGGGAAGUGUCUUUGCUUCCUCCCACUACUCCCUCCAACCUCUCACUCACAAGGUCCAGUGCUUUCUGCCCUGGGAUGCCUUCCUACCCAUCUGAUUCCCACCCUCAGGCCAUAGCAUCCUGUACAGUGACCACUGUUAAAUCCCUGUGAGUCUCCCCAGCCCAUGUGCACCAGACACCAGAUCCUCACCUCCCCCAUCAGCAGGGGUACUGCCCCAAUGGCUUUCUGCAGGGCCCGGAUCUCCUCAGUGGGUCCUGUGAUGAGAGACGUGCCGGUGUCCAGAAUGGCAGCACAGCCCCGGGCACAGAGAGUCAGACCUGUGGCCACCUGAACACUGUGAGGCAGAAGGGGGCAGUCAUUAGAGCUGGCAU